CAAGUCGAACGCCUCUAGCAAUAGAGGAGUGGCGCACGGGUGAGUAACGCGUGGGAACCUGCCCUGGAGUGUGGGAUAACCCGGCGAAAGCCGGGCUAAUACCGCAUACGACCUGAGAGUGAAAGAUUUAUCGCUCUAGGAGGGGCCCGCGUCGGAUUAGCUAGUUGGUGAGGUAACGGCUCACCAAGGCGAUGAUCCGUAGCUGGUCUGAGAGGAUGAUCAGCCACACUGGGACUGAGACACGGCCCAGACUCCUACGGGAGGCAGCAGUGGGGAAUAUUGGACAAUGGGGGCAACCCUGAUCCAGCAAUGCCGCGUGGGCGAUGAAGGCCUUCGGGUUGUAAAGCCCUUUUGCACGCGACGAUGAUGACGGUAGCGUGAGAAGAAGCCCCGGCUAACUUCGUGCCAGCAGCCGCGGUAAUACGAAGGGGGCGAGCGUUGUUCGGAAUUACUGGGCGUAAAGGGCGCGCAGGCGGCCCUUAGAAGUCAGAUGUGAAAGCCCCGGGCUCAACCUGGGAAUGGCAUUUGAUACUCUGAGGCUGGAUUACGGGAAAAGAAAUUGGAAUUCCCAGUGUAAAGUGAAAUUCUUAAAUUUUGGGAAAAACCCC
Molecule: ribosomal RNA, 608 nt
Filed under: uncultured Alphaproteobacteria bacterium
Lineage: Bacteria; Pseudomonadati; Pseudomonadota; Alphaproteobacteria
Description: bacterial SSU rRNA
Rfam family: Bacterial small subunit ribosomal RNA
Source: RNAcentral